Non-coding RNA from Petromyzon marinus (sea lamprey), 1580 nucleotides. Lineage: Eukaryota; Metazoa; Chordata; Hyperoartia; Petromyzontiformes; Petromyzontidae. The record is from RefSeq and is a predicted model, not a curated record.
AUUAGCAUGUUAAUGUAAGAUCGGUGAGCGGCCUCCAUGGCGAGUGCGCUGAGGUGGCUAUGUUAAUGUGAGAGAUUAGCAUGUUAAUGGCAGAUCGCAGAGCCGCCGCCACCUCUAGCUCGGCGCACGAAGGUGGCCGUGUUCGUGUGAGAAAUUGUACCUGUUAAUGUAUCAUCAUAUAAAGUGGAGUAGGUUGGAGUGCUGCUGAAAAAACGGAAAUUGAUCAUGAAAAGCAAGGUAACAAUGUGCAACAGAAGAAAUAUUGUAAUCAGUGUAUAUCACUUGCUGUGAAAUCGGCAUUGGAAAUAUGGCUAUUGACAAAUAAAAUGGAACAAAUGCUCGAAAGGAGUGUGAAGAGAUCCUUGCUGGGAAUUGCAGUUAGAGACAGAAUGUUGAACACAGAGAACAUAUGCAAAUUAUAUGCAUGAUAUUGAAAGUUCAAGGAAAGUGGGUGGACAGGGCACGAUGCCUGGCGGUUGAGACUAAAGAUGGAGUGGCAGCUAAAGGAGAAAACAUGCCUGACAGGAUGACCACCGCCAAGAUAGAGGGAUGAGAUCAACUCGUACGUAGCAGCGUGGAUUAUUGCAUUCUGAGACUGUGAGGGAUGACAAUGUUUGGGGAGACCUCCAUCUGGCAGUGGAUAGUUAAUGUCUGAUGACAAGAUUGAUGUAUGUUCCCACAUUGCAAAUAGAGUUUCACCAUUUAGAAGAUUCCUGACAGAACAUAUAUUAUACGUAAACAGAUAAUAUUAAUGUAAGGUUUGUAAGUUGUAAGGUUUGUAAGUGGUAAGCUUUGUAAGUUAAUAUCCAGAGUUAAUAUAGACGUGAAUUAUCUAGUAGCAUCUGUUAUCAUUUAUUGGUAUGUAAUGUGUUGUUAAACUAUCCGGGUGGCUUUGUGGUCGAGACAGCAGCUCACAAUCGGAAGGUUGCGAGUUAAAAUCCCGGUUGGGGGCCGACUCGACCAAUCAUACCUCUGGGGUUGAUAAAAUAGGCAGUACUUUAUGAGGUCAACAGUACUUUUUGUAUGGAUCCCCACCCCAUAGAAAUGUGGAAUUUCCACGAGUGGCUCUGCAGGGCUGUAAAUAGGGGAUGAGCACUACCUCAAUAAUGCUAAUUUCGUCAGGAAAUCACUUUUAAUGUGUCACGUUAUGUUCUAUGGGGUUAUUGUGUUAAGUUUGUUACUCCAAUUAAUGUGCUGGUAAUACAGUCAGGGUCAUCCAUCCGGUGAGCCCGAGAAGGCAAUCCCAUUAUUCAGCGUGAGAAGCUGAUCCCCCACGGUGCUUUACAGAGCGGCUUUAAUAUACACAUAUAUCACCGAUGUAUCAGUCUCUCUGGUGGCUUAUGUUAAAUGUCAUGCUACUUUACGGCACAGCAGCCACAGCAAAUGAAUGUCAGGUGGUGAUUUGAUUUACUAUACUGUGUUUGCUUUCGACAGGUGCAUGCAAUGCAUUAAUUAACGUACAAAUAGAAGAUUGACACCAUUGCAAAAACGAGCAUGAAUUGCUACGUAAAUUAAGCUAGAUACGUGUUAUGAGAACGAUAUAUAAUAUUAAAGGGUAAUGCAAAAAUAGGGAAAAAAAA